Molecule: ribosomal RNA, 2335 nt
Filed under: Escherichia coli
Lineage: Bacteria; Pseudomonadati; Pseudomonadota; Gammaproteobacteria; Enterobacterales; Enterobacteriaceae
Description: partial 23S ribosomal RNA
Rfam family: Bacterial large subunit ribosomal RNA
Source: RNAcentral
AUAAUGGGUCAGCGACUUAUAUUCUGUAGCAAGGUUAACCGAAUAGGGGAGCCGAAGGGAAACCGAGUCUUAACUGGGCGUUAAGUUGCAGGGUAUAGACCCGAAACCCGGUGAUCUAGCCAUGGGCAGGUUGAAGGUUGGGUAACACUAACUGGAGGACCGAACCGACUAAUGUUGAAAAAUUAGCGGAUGACUUGUGGCUGGGGGUGAAAGGCCAAUCAAACCGGGAGAUAGCUGGUUCUCCCCGAAAGCUAUUUAGGUAGCGCCUCGUGAAUUCAUCUCCGGGGGUAGAGCACUGUUUCGGCAAGGGGGUCAUCCCGACUUACCAACCCGAUGCAAACUGCGAAUACCGGAGAAUGUUAUCACGGGAGACACACGGCGGGUGCUAACGUCCGUCGUGAAGAGGGAAACAACCCAGACCGCCAGCUAAGGUCCCAAAGUCAUGGUUAAGUGGGAAACGAUGUGGGAAGGCCCAGACAGCCAGGAUGUUGGCUUAGAAGCAGCCAUCAUUUAAAGAAAGCGUAAUAGCUCACUGGUCGAGUCGGCCUGCGCGGAAGAUGUAACGGGGCUAAACCAUGCACCGAAGCUGCGGCAGCGACGCUGAUGCGUUGUUGGGUAGGGGAGCGUUCUGUAAGCCUGCGAAGGUGUGCUGUGAGGCAUGCUGGAGGUAUCAGAAGUGCGAAUGCUGACAUAAGUAACGAUAAAGCGGGUGAAAAGCCCGCUCGCCGGAAGACCAAGGGUUCCUGUCCAACGUUAAUCGGGGCAGGGUGAGUCGACCCCUAAGGCGAGGCCGAAAGGCGUAGUCGAUGGGAAACAGGUUAAUAUUCCUGUACUUGGUGUUACUGCGAAGGGGGGACGGAGAAGGCUAUGUUGGCCGGGCGACGGUUGUCCCGGUUUAAGCGUGUAGGCUGGUUUUCCAGGCAAAUCCGGAAAAUCAAGGCUGAGGCGUGAUGACGAGGCACUGCGGUGCUGAAGCAACAAAUGCCCUGCUUCCAGGAAAAGCCUCUAAGCAUCAGGUAACAUCAAAUCGUACCCCAAACCGACACAGGUGGUCAGGUAGAGAAUACCAAGGCGCUUGAGAGAACUCGGGUGAAGGAACUAGGCAAAAUGGUGCCGUAACUUCGGGAGAAGGCACGCUGAUAUGUAGGUGAAGUCCCUCGCGGAUGGAGCUGAAAUCAGUCGAAGAUACCAGCUGGCUGCAACUGUUUAUUAAAAACACAGCACUGUGCAAACACGAAAGUGGACGUAUACGGUGUGACGCCUGCCCGGUGCCGGAAGGUUAAUUGAUGGGGUUAGCGCAAGCGAAGCUCUUGAUCGAAGCCCCGGUAAACGGCGGCCGUAACUAUAACGGUCCUAAGGUAGCGAAAUUCCUUGUCGGGUAAGUUCCGACCUGCACGAAUGGCGUAAUGAUGGCCAGGCUGUCUCCACCCGAGACUCAGUGAAAUUGAACUCGCUGUGAAGAUGCAGUGUACCCGCGGCAAGACGGAAAGACCCCGUGAACCUUUACUAUAGCUUGACACUGAACAUUGAGCCUUGAUGUGUAGGAUAGGUGGGAGGCUUUGAAGUGUGGACGCCAGUCUGCAUGGAGCCGACCUUGAAAUACCACCCUUUAAUGUUUGAUGUUCUAACGUUGACCCGUAAUCCGGGUUGCGGACAGUGUCUGGUGGGUAGUUUGACUGGGGCGGUCUCCUCCUAAAGAGUAACGGAGGAGCACGAAGGUUGGCUAAUCCUGGUCGGACAUCAGGAGGUUAGUGCAAUGGCAUAAGCCAGCUUGACUGCGAGCGUGACGGCGCGAGCAGGUGCGAAAGCAGGUCAUAGUGAUCCGGUGGUUCUGAAUGGAAGGGCCAUCGCUCAACGGAUAAAAGGUACUCCGGGGAUAACAGGCUGAUACCGCCCAAGAGUUCAUAUCGACGGCGGUGUUUGGCACCUCGAUGUCGGCUCAUCACAUCCUGGGGCUGAAGUAGGUCCCAAGGGUAUGGCUGUUCGCCAUUUAAAGUGGUACGCGAGCUGGGUUUAGAACGUCGUGAGACAGUUCGGUCCCUAUCUGCCGUGGGCGCUGGAGAACUGAGGGGGGCUGCUCCUAGUACGAGAGGACCGGAGUGGACGCAUCACUGGUGUUCGGGUUGUCAUGCCAAUGGCACUGCCCGGUAGCUAAAUGCGGAAGAGAUAAGUGCUGAAAGCAUCUAAGCACGAAACUUGCCCCGAGAUGAGUUCUCCCUGACUCCUUGAGAGUCCUGAAGGAACGUUGAAGACGACGACGUUGAUAGGCCGGGUGUGUAAGCGCAGCGAUGCGUUGAGCUAACCGGUACUAAUGAACCGUGAGGCUUAACCUUAC